GUAGGUGGCAAGCGUUGUCCGGAAUUAUUGGGCGUAAAGCGCGCGCAGGUGGUUCUUUAAGUCUGAUGUGAAAGCCCCCGGCUCAACCGGGGAGAGUCAUUGGAAACUGGGGAACUUGAGUGCAGGAGAGGAAAGUGGAAUUCCACGUGUAGCGGUGAAAUGCGUAGAUAUGUGGAGGAACACCAGUGGCGAAGGCGACUUUCUGGCCUGUAACUGACACUGAGGCGCGAAAGCGUGGGGAGCAAACAGGGAUUAGAUACCCUGGUAGUCCACGCCGUAAACGAUGAGUGCUAAGUGUUGGGGGGGGUUUCCGCCCCCUCAGUGCUGCAGCUAACGCAUUAAGCACUCCGCCUGGGAGUACGGUCGCAAGACUG
RNAcentral lists this ribosomal RNA (374 nucleotides) under uncultured organism. RNAcentral's name for it is "partial 16S ribosomal RNA". It matches the Rfam family "Bacterial small subunit ribosomal RNA", at positions 527 to 896 of the family's 1533-position model. The record is from RNAcentral.